This 253-nucleotide ribosomal RNA is filed under the name uncultured bacterium. RNAcentral's name for it is "partial 16S ribosomal RNA". It matches the Rfam family "Bacterial small subunit ribosomal RNA", at positions 524 to 776 of the family's 1533-position model. The record is from RNAcentral.
UACGAAGGGGGCUAGCGUUGCUCGGAAUCACUGGGCGUAAAGCGCACGUAGGCGGAUCGCUAAGUCAGGGGCGAAAUCCUGGAGCUCAACUCCAGAACUGCCUUUGAUACUGGCAAUCUCGAGUCCGGGAGAGGUGAGUGGAACUGCGAGUGUAGAGGUGAAAUUCGUAGAUAUUCGCAAGAACACCAGUGGCGAAGGCGGCUCACUGGCCCGGUACUGACGCUGAGGUGCGAAAGCGUGGGGAGCAAACAGG